This 24-nucleotide non-coding RNA is filed under the name Arabidopsis thaliana (thale cress). Lineage: Eukaryota; Viridiplantae; Streptophyta; Magnoliopsida; Brassicales; Brassicaceae. The record is from RNAcentral.
GAAAUGGCUUACUUCUGUAAUCGA